ACACUCCUACGGGAGGCAGCAGUGGGGAAUAUUGGACAAUGGGCGCAAGCCUGAUCCAGCCAUGCCGCGUGAGUGAUGAAGGCCCUAGGGUUGUAAAGCUCUUUCACCGGUGAAGAUAAUGACGGUAACCGGAGAAGAAGCCCCGGCUAACUUCGUGCCAGCAGCCGCGGUAAUACGAAGGGGGCUAGCGUUGUUCGGAUUUACUGGGCGUAAAGCGCACGUAGGCGGACUAUUAAGUCAGGGGUGAAAUCCCGGGGCUCAACCCCGGAACUGCCUUUGAUACUGGUAGUCUUGAGUUCGAGAGAGGUGAGUGGAAUUCCGGGUGUAGAGGUGAAAUUCGUAGAUAUUCGGAGGAACACCAGUGGCGAAGGCGGCUCACUGGCUCGAAACUGACGCUGAGGUGCGAAAGUGUGGGGAGCAAACAGGAUUAGAAACCCCUGUAGUCCCAUG
RNAcentral lists this ribosomal RNA (450 nucleotides) under uncultured organism. RNAcentral describes it as "partial 16S ribosomal RNA". It matches the Rfam family "Bacterial small subunit ribosomal RNA", at positions 333 to 799 of the family's 1533-position model. The record is from RNAcentral.